GGGUGCGAUCAUACCAGCACUAAUGCACCGGAUCCCAUCAGAACUCCGAAGUUAAACGUGCUUGGGCGAGAGUAGUACUAAGAUGGGUGACUGAUGGGCUCUUUAUGCAACCU
Molecule: ribosomal RNA, 113 nt
Filed under: Ricinus communis (castor bean)
Lineage: Eukaryota; Viridiplantae; Streptophyta; Magnoliopsida; Malpighiales; Euphorbiaceae
Source: RNAcentral